GCCAGACUCCUACGGGAGGCAGCAGUGAGGAAUAUUGGUCAAUGGGCUUACGCCUGAACCAGCCAAGUCGCGUGAGGGAGUACUGCCCUAUGGGUUGUAAACCUCUUUUGUCGGGGAGCAAAAGCCGGACGUGUCCGGCUGUGAGAGUACCCGAAGAAAAAGCAUCGGCUAACUCCGUGCCAGCAGCCGCGGUAAUACGGAGGAUGCGAGCGUUAUCCGGAUUUAUUGGGUUUAAAGGGUGCGCAGGCGGAUUUUUAAGUCAGCGGUCAAAUCGUGGGGCUCAACCCCAUCCAGCCGUUGAAACUGGGGAUCUAGAGUGUGCGAGAGGUAUGCGGAAUGCGUGGUGUAGCGGUGAAAUGCAUAGAUAUCACGCAGAACCCCGAUUGCGAAGGCAGCAUACCGGUGCACAACUGACGCUCAGGCACGAAAGCGUGGGUGUCGAACAGGAUUAGAUACCCUAGUA
This 463-nucleotide ribosomal RNA is filed under the name uncultured bacterium. Its description in RNAcentral is "partial 16S ribosomal RNA". It matches the Rfam family "Bacterial small subunit ribosomal RNA", at positions 330 to 792 of the family's 1533-position model. The record is from RNAcentral.